GAGUUCAUGGCUCAGGAUGAACGCUAGCUACAGGCUUAACACAUGCAAGUCGAGGGGCAGCAUGAACUUAGCUUGCUAAGUUUGAUGGCGACCGGCGCACGGGUGAGUAACACGUAUCCAACCUUCCGUUUACUCAGGGAUAGCCUUUCGAAAGAAAGAUUAAUACCUGAUAGUAUGGUGAGAUUGCAUGAUAGCACCAUUAAAGAUUUAUUGGUAAACGAUGGGGAUGCGUU
This 233-nucleotide ribosomal RNA is filed under the name uncultured bacterium. RNAcentral's name for it is "partial 16S ribosomal RNA". It matches the Rfam family "Bacterial small subunit ribosomal RNA", at positions 9 to 237 of the family's 1533-position model. The record is from RNAcentral.